RNAcentral lists this ribosomal RNA (561 nucleotides) under uncultured Strobilomyces. RNAcentral's name for it is "eukaryotic LSU rRNA". The stretch from base 129 to 283 matches the Rfam family "5.8S ribosomal RNA". The record is from RNAcentral. Lineage: Eukaryota; Fungi; Basidiomycota; Agaricomycetes; Boletales; Boletaceae.
AUUAUCGAACGCUACACACACACACACACUUGUGCACACAUCGUCCGCCGGCCCUCGCGAGAGGAUCGGCGGGUCCACACACACACACACACACAUACCGAGGUCAGAAUGUGACUACACACUAUUACAACUUUCAGCAACGGAUCUCUUGGCUCUCGCAUCGAUGAAGAACGCAGCGAAUCGCGAUAUGUAAUGUGAAUUGCAGAUUUCCAGUGAAUCAUCGAAUCUUUGAACGCACCUUGCGCUCUCCGGUACUCCGGAGAGCAUGCCUGUUUGAGUGUCAUUCGAAUUCUCAACCGUGCCCUCGAGGCGCACGGCUUGGACUUGGGAGUUGCUGGCGUCGCAAAGACGUCGGCUCUCCUCAAACGCAUGAGCGGGACUAGCAUGUCCGGACGUGCACGGCCUAGUUCGACGUGAUAACGAUCGUCGUCGGGCUGGAGCGUCCGGACGACGCCAGAUCUGCUUCCAACCUCGGCCAGCUCAGCUACUAGCCCUCGUGGCGAACGCGGGCGCGCUAACCCCUUUGACCUCAAAUCGGGUGAGACUACCCGCUGAACUUAA